GUAACACCCACGUCUCCUCCAGUCCUCGGCUGGGCUGUGUGGCUCCUGAAGAGAGCUGUGUUCUGAUUGGCUGAGUGCCGCUGACAUCACGCCACACAGAUGCUGAUUGGCUGCUGUCUGUGAGGCUCAGACAUGGGCUCCGGUGUUUAGGAGCAGACGAGGAGCUCUCGCUGCAGACCGAGACCAGGAGACCAGGAGACCAGGAGAGAGGAGGAGGUGGAGAUACUGACCUCUGCUGUGCUUCAGGCUCCGGGUCUCUGUGUCUGAUGAGGAGCUCUGGACGAGGACGAACACCAGAUCAUCACACCACGAGCUGAACCACAGCGGAGACACAGCGGAGUGACAGAGGAGACACACAGGUAACAGAAACAUGAAGUCUGAAGAACACCAGAUCAUCACACCACGAGCUGAACCACAGCGGAGACACAGCGGAGAGACACAGACCAGACCAGAAGUUUUCAGAACGCAUCAAAGACGUCAAGAUUGAUGAACAUCUUAAAAAGGGACAACUCCAGCACAGACAGAGACGACAGUGUGAUGCGCAUGAAGCUGAAGGAGGACAGGAGGAGCGAGAGGAGGAGUAUCAGAGAGCCAGAGAGAGGAUCUUCGCUGAUGUCAGAUACGGCACAGGGUUUAAACACCUUCCCGCUGGAUAAAAGGAGAAUCUGAGCGUCCCCUCGGUCACAUGAUGCUGGUCCAGCAGACCUCGCUCCUGACCCCUGCACCUCCACCGCUUCAGAGAGGAGACGUCCUGCCCUCGACGGGACAGAAACAGCUGUGACACACAUCCAUCAUCAGAGAGCAACACCUGCAUCCACUAAUGAAGAGAUGCAUGUUCUCUGAGCCAGUUCCCUGUGUCUGGACAGCUGUGACGGAUGGGUUCAGAGUCACCCGCAGCAGACAGGUUCCCAAACUGAUGGCAGAACAUGAAGCAGGCGUCAGCACGGAUGCUCCAGUAUCCGUCAGGUGAACUGCAUUCUGGGAGAUGAGUGGAGAAGUAUCAGAGACCCAAACUAUCACAGUUAUCAUCACGGGAUUGUUCAAGCGUGCUGCAGAUGUUUGAGAAGUACUGACACACACACACACACACACACACACACACAGCUGUAUGAUCACAGAGAGGUGUGCAGAUCUACACACAAGCACAGCAAACCUCAGUCUUUUUAUCACAUUUUAAAAUCCACUUUUUAUCAGAUUAAUUGCAAUUAGAUUUUUUCCUCAAACUGUACAGCUCUACUACAGCUGCUGUUUGAUUAUAUUUUAUUUUUAAGGUCUUUAACUCAUUUUUGCAGCACUGCACUAGCAACACCAAAGUCACGGGUUCGAUUCCUAUGAAUGCAUGAUCGGAUCAGAUUUCACUUUAAAUACAGUGUAAGUCACUCAAAAGAGCUGAGAGCGUUACAGUGACAUUCAACAAUAAAACAUGUAUGCACUGAUUUCCAGAACAGAUGUGGAGUGUCAUUAGAAUAAAAACAGAAACUGGACGGAAUAAUGAAUCAGAAACUACUGUAAAAACUUCUGAAUUCAGAACGGUCUUCCAUGUGUCUGCUGUCGAAUGUUCACAUAUAUUUUAAUAAUGAAUUCAGACUGAUUUCCUCCUGUGCUGAAAGAGUCUGGUCGGGUGUAAAGCGCUGUAUCUGUGCGGUCAGGAAGCGGCCGUCUCUCGGGACUGGACUUCAGUAGGUCACGCUGGAGAUGAUUUAUGAGGACAGUCGUGCAGCUGGUGUUAAUAUAACUCAGUGUUCCCGAGAGGACAGAGAUCUGACCGCAGCACAUCCUUCAUGAAGCUGCAGCACAGUACUGCUGUCUCUACAGUCUGCUUCUCUCUGUGUGUGUGUCUUCAGUUUCCUGACAGUCCAAUCAUUGCACAUGUGUUUAUCUUUGAUCAGAUGAAACGCUUGUGUUCCUGAGGGUGAUCUGUCCCUGUAAAGCACUGAUCUCAUCUCUGGUGAGAGCUGACUGUAGGUGACCGGCUCAUGUGUUCCUCUGUGAGGUUCAUGUCUCCUCCAGGAGCUGAUCCAGCGCACCACAGCACCUGCCGCUCGCAACCGUGCUCAGGUACAGCCCCAUCCUCCAGAAGACUAUUGAGGCAGUGUUCACAUCAGUCCUAUUUGAGCAUCAUUUGAGAUAUUAUUAUAGCUUUUAUAUUUAAUAUAGAGUCAGUGUUUAAGUAAUUGUGUAUCAGUCUCAUCAUCAGAGCAGGUGAUGUCCUGUCUCGUGUGUGUGUGUGUGUGUGUGUGUGUGUGUGUGUGUCGUCUGUAGAGUGUCCUUCAGUCACAGAACGUGUCUGGUGUCGCUCCUGCGGAUCGUAGCGACUCUCUCUGCUCUGAUCAUGGGGGGUAAUUUUUGUUCUUCAAGUGAAACUGGACAGAAAUGAGAAAUCAUCAAAUCAUUCUCUUAAACAAUAAGCAGAUAUUCAUAUAAGAGCUUGUAAUUAAGAGAGUGUAAUAAUCAUAGCUGACAGUAAUUCAUGCAAGCGUGAAGGAAAACCAGACUGGACUCGAGACCAGCAGCUGAUUAAUGAAGACCAGGAUAUAAUCAGAGGAGAUUCAGGCCCGGCGCCACAAGGGGGCAAAAUGGGGCAAUGCCCCCUCAGAUCUGACUUGUGCCUCCUCUGUUUCAUUUUUGUAUUCAUGGUUAAAAAUAAAAUGUUCAACCUUUUGAGUUAAAUAAUAAUUUAACCUUAUCCCCAUGGGAUUCAGAAUGUUCAGUGUUGUGACUCGUGACAUCAUCACUAACAGAUUCAAACGUCAUCGCGUUGGUUGGCGCUGAGCCAGAGACGGACGAGCUCAGCGCUGUCAUAUAUCACAACUAUGCAGUGUUUUCAACCUCAUAAUAAUUAUUUUAGAUUUCAGACAUUUAAAUACACAUAAGCACUGGUAAUACAACAGCCUACAUUUGGAGUUUGUGAAAGCAGCAAAAACAAUCUAUUCAAAUAUAAUUUGCCGACCUGUGUUUUUCAUAUCAGAUAAAUGUUAGGCUAACUAUAAAGUUUACUCUGUUGUUAUAAAGAUUUUAAACGACCAAACACACUCACUUACACUUAGAAUCGGAUAGGAUAGUUGAUGACAUGGUAAGUAAGUUUGUGAAUAUUUCGAAUAAAAAAGGAAAAACGAAAUGAAGGAUAGCCUACAUCUGUUAUACAGUGUUAUUAUUGUGACUGCGGUGUCACGUGACAAAUAUGACGCGUUGCCAUGGAAACAUUAAGGGGGAACGUUCUAAAAUAACUGUCGCCUUGAAAAAUUUUACUCUCGGGAGUCAGUCAGAAUAUUUUAAACUUCAGUGUGAAAGGGUUAAUUAUUCAUAAUAAAUGGCGCUGGCUUAUCUUUUGUGGACUGUAUGAUUUCCUGAUGUGGGUACUAAGUCACAUGGAAAAUACAGUUGUUUAAAUUUAAAGCAAGGGGCGUGGUUUUAUCCAACCCCGCGCCAUUCGGUGUCCGUCGAGCAAAUAUCUGAACGUGUGAUAUUAUCAGCAAUUCAGUUUCAGCUAAAAUGUGAAUUAACAUUAAUAUCCAACAAUGGACAUAAGAAAGUGUAUGCAGUGUAUUUCAGACCAUGAAAAGGACAGUGGAAGUGUGAUUGAGAGUACAGCUGAUGAUCAAAAUGCAGCAGCACUAUAGUGUCUUAGGACUCGUCUUCACUGCUCCUGAUGUUUCUCAGACUUAAGAGCUAGUUUAAGCACUAAAACACUUUGUGAAAUUAUUAAUAUAAAAUAUAAUUUUGACCCGUUGUGGCAAAAUGAGUCAUAACAAAAAUGUGUUAUUUUUAUUUCACAUUCUCUAUUGAAAGUUAGAGUAAGUUAGAGUAAGUAAAGUUUAUUUGUAAAGCACCUUUCACAGACAGAAGGGUCACGAAGAGCUCACAGUAAUGUAAAAACAGACCAUAAAAUAAAAUAACAACUGUACAAGUACACACCUAGUACAACUCUACAACUAUAAACUCACUAAAACUUCAUUAACAAACAAAUCAUGUUGAUAAUUAAAAGCUUGUCCAAAAACAUGAGUCUGUAAGUGUUUUUUAAAAGACUCCACAGAGCUCCUAGUUCUCACAGAUAGAGGGAACAUAAUCUAUUUUCUGAAAUAUAUACAUGCAUGUUUGUGUAUUUAUAUAUACACACAUAAUAAAUAUUCCCAGUGCACACAUAUAUUAUGUUAACAAAAACUGAUUUUGUAUGUGAUAAUCAUUUGACAACAAUUUUUUUUUUUUUUGGAGGGGGGGGGGGUCUUAAUAUUCUAAUUCAUACUAGUAAAAUAAGAAGAACAACAGUUUUGCACAUUAUAUAAAUGUUUUUUUGUUCUGAAAGGCUGUUCAGUGUUGACUGUUUAUUUCAGUUUGAGAAUCAUUAAAUGUUUAGACUGCAUGAUGUUCUUCAUCUGAAGCUGGAGUCUGUCCUGUACGCUCUGUUGUAGUUCUUCAUCUGAAGCUGGAGUGCUGUGUCACGAGUCUGUCCUGUACGCUCUGGUGUUGAUCUUCGUCAUCAGGCUUCAUGACUCUUCCUCUGAUCUCAGCUGAUGGACGUGUUCACCUCAUCCGUCUCAGGUCAUCUGAUUCUCCUCCAGUAACAUCAGAUCCUCCACCCGCUGGAGCUCAUGAUGAAGGACGGCUUCAUCUUCUUCUGGAGCUCAUCUGACUGGAUCUAUUAACACGUGAUUAAACCAACAUCUGAAGAGCUCAGCUGAGAACGAGCUCCAUCUCUGUGUCCAGCUUCUGUUCAUUCAGCAGUCACUGAGGUUCUUAUCAGAAAACCUGCACCGUCCAGUCCUUCUCUCUUAUAUUACUCUGAAGAGGUGCAGUUACGCUGUAUUUCUGGCUAGAAACAUCAGAGUCAGAGCAGAAUAUUUCACACCAAGAUCUCUCUCAUCUGAUCAAAACUGCUGCAGUAUGAGCAGAAUACACAGAGAGCCAGCUUCUGACAGCAUUCACAUUAUACUAAAAAGAUUUUAAUAUUUCACUGUCAAAAUAUUUUCAUGUAGAUUUCAGUGCUGUUUUAGUAUUAUUCAUAUUCAAUUAUCAUUUCUUUUAAUAUUUAAAGUUAGAUUUAAAAAAAUAUAUAAAAUAAAAUGUUUUUGUAUCCAAAUUUAAUUUUUAUUCUUUAUUAUUAUUAUUAUUAUUAUUAUUAUUAUUAUUUUUAUUAUUAAUUUUUUUACUUUUAUUUUAGUACUUAAACUUCACUGAAAAUGGCAAAUGUUGCCUUGGAAACUAGCUGACAUAAAAUUAGUAUGUUUUUUAAAUAUUUUAUUUCAUUUAAUUUAUUUCAAGUAGGGUUUUUUGGUUUUGGUUUUAGUUACUAAUAAUUACUUCAGCCAUGAAUUAGUCAGAAAUCUGGGUGUUAUAUACAUAUUUCCAAUGUUACACAAACUGCAUUCUUCCAUCUUAGAAACAUUGCCAAGCUACGAAACAUGUUAUCUGUUUCUGAUGCAGAAAAGCUAGUUCAUGCAUUCAUGACCUCUAGACUGUACUAUUGUAAUGCACUUCUAGGUGGUUGUCCUGCUUCGUCAAUAAACAAGCUACAGGUUCAAUUUAGCAAAUGAAAAUAGUCCAGAGCCACAGCAGAACUGUUGAGUUUCUCUGAUUCUUUACUUGAUGAUUAAACAUGUGAAUGAAUCGAGUGAA
Long non-coding RNA from Carassius gibelio (silver crucian carp), 5613 nucleotides. RefSeq lists it as uncharacterized. The record is from RefSeq and is a predicted model, not a curated record. The transcript is spliced from 7 exons. NCBI's taxonomy places the organism in Eukaryota, Metazoa, Chordata, Actinopteri, Cypriniformes, Cyprinidae.